CAGCCGCCGCGGUAAUACGAAGGGUGCAAGCGUUAAUCGGAAUUACUGGGCGUAGAGGGUGCGUAGGCGGUGAGUUAAGUCUGUUGUGAAAUCCCCGGGCUCAACCUGGGAAUGGCAAUGGAUACUGGCUCGCUAGAGUGUGAUAGAGGAUGGUGGAAUUCCCGGUGUAGCGGUGAAAUGCGUAGAGAUCGGGAGGAACAUCAGUGGCGAAGGCGGCCAUCUGGAUCAACACUGACGCUGAAGCACGAAAGCGUGGGGAGCAAACAGGAUUAGAUACCCGGGUAGUCCCUGUCUCUUAUAC
RNAcentral lists this ribosomal RNA (301 nucleotides) under uncultured bacterium. Its description in RNAcentral is "partial 16S ribosomal RNA". It matches the Rfam family "Bacterial small subunit ribosomal RNA", at positions 509 to 807 of the family's 1533-position model. The record is from RNAcentral.